GGUGUGGCUCAGUGGUAGAGUACUUGCCUAGCAGGCACAAGGCCUGGGUUCCAUCCCAGCACC
RNAcentral lists this transfer RNA (63 nucleotides) under Cricetulus griseus (Chinese hamster). It matches the Rfam family "tRNA". From Rfam's summary of the family: Transfer RNA (tRNA) molecules are approximately 80 nucleotides in length. Their secondary structure includes four short double-helical elements and three loops (D, anti-codon, and T loops). The record is from Rfam by way of RNAcentral. Lineage: Eukaryota; Metazoa; Chordata; Mammalia; Rodentia; Cricetidae.